GACGAACGCUGGCGGCGUGCUUAACACAUGCAAGUCGAACGGAAAGGCCCUGCUUUUGUGGGGUGCUCGAGUGGCGAACGGGUGAGUAACACGUGAGUAACCUGCCCUUGACUUUGGGAUAACUUCAGGAAACUGGGCUAAUACCGGAAAGGAGCUUCUGCUGCAAGGUGGGGGUUGGAAAGUUUCGGCGGUUGGGGAUGGACUCGCGGCUUAUCAGCUUGUUGGUGGGGUAGUGGCUUACCAAGGCUUUGACGGGUAGCCGGCCUGAGAGGGUGACCGGCCACAUUGGGACUGAGAUACGGCCCAGACUCCUACGGGAGGCAGCAGUGGGGAAUAUUGCACAAUGGGCGGAAGCCUGAUGCAGCAACGCCGCGUGCGGGAUGACGGCCUUCGGGUUGUAAACCGCUUUCGCCUGUGACGAAGCGUGAGUGACGGUAAUGGGUAAAGAAGCACCGGCUAACUACGUG
RNAcentral lists this ribosomal RNA (467 nucleotides) under uncultured bacterium. Its description in RNAcentral is "partial 16S ribosomal RNA". It matches the Rfam family "Bacterial small subunit ribosomal RNA", at positions 28 to 507 of the family's 1533-position model. The record is from RNAcentral.